AUAUUUCCCACACGUAUGAGGGAGUGAGUGAGUUGAGAUUGUAAGUCACAUCGGCAAUAUUGCAGCCAUAUCGUGACUAUUUACAAGUUAUAAUGUCAUAACAGAUCAUUAUAAAAACCUGUCGGCGAAGGACAGUUAAAAUA
Molecule: long non-coding RNA, 143 nt
Organism: Haliotis rubra (blacklip abalone)
Lineage: Eukaryota; Metazoa; Mollusca; Gastropoda; Lepetellida; Haliotidae
Exons: 3
Source: RefSeq, a predicted model, not a curated record